Molecule: ribosomal RNA, 525 nt
Filed under: uncultured bacterium
Lineage: Bacteria
Description: bacterial SSU rRNA
Rfam family: Bacterial small subunit ribosomal RNA
Source: RNAcentral
AAUGGACGAAAGUCUGACGGAGCAACGCCGCGUGAACGAUGAAGGCUUUCGGGUCGUAAAGUUCUGUUGUCAGGGAAGAACAAGUACCGGAGUAACUGCCGGUACCUUGACGGUACCUGACCAGAAAGCCACGGCUAACUACGUGCCAGCAGCCGCGGUAAUACGUAGGUGGCAAGCGUUGUCCGGAAUUAUUGGGCGUAAAGCGCGCGCAGGCGGUUCCUUAAGUCUGAUGUGAAAGCCCCCGGCUCAACCGGGGAGGGUCAUUGGAAACUGAGGAACUUGAGUGCAGAAGAGGAGAGCGGAAUUCCACGUGUAGCGGUGAAAUGCGUAGAGAUGUGGAGGAACACCAGUGGCGAAGGCGGCUCUCUGGUCUGUAACUGACGCUGAGGCGCGAAAGCGUGGGGAGCGAACAGGAUUAGAUACCCUGGUAGUCCACGCCGUAAACGAUGAGUGCUAAGUGUUAGAGGGUUUCCGCCCUUUAGUGCUGCAGCAAACGCAUUAAGCACUCCGCCUGGGGAGUACGGC